GACGAAGGGGGCAAGCGUUGUUCGGAAUUACUGGGCGUAAAGGGCGCGUAGGCGGCUCUUUAAGUCAGGCGUGAAAGCCCUGGGCUCAACCUGGGAGUGGCGCUUGAUACUGGAGGGCUAGAGAGUGGGAGAGGCGAGUGGAAUUCCUGGUGUAGCGGUGAAAUGCGCAGAUAUCAGGAGGAACACCUAUUGCGAAGGCAGCUCGCUGGGACGUAACUGACGCUGAGACGCGAAAGCGUGGGGAGCAAACAGG
This 253-nucleotide ribosomal RNA is filed under the name uncultured bacterium. RNAcentral's name for it is "partial 16S ribosomal RNA". It matches the Rfam family "Bacterial small subunit ribosomal RNA", at positions 524 to 776 of the family's 1533-position model. The record is from RNAcentral.